GACGAACGCUGGCGGCGUGCUUAACACAUGCAAGUCGAACGAUGAAGCCUAGCUUGCUAGGUGGAUUAGUGGCGAACGGGUGAGUAAUACGUGAGUGACCUACCUUUGACUCUGGGAUAAGCCUGGGAAACUGGGUCUAAUACCGGAUACGACCAAUCUCCGCAUGGGGUGUUGGUGGAAAGCGUUAUGGAGUGGUUUUAGAUGGGCUCACGGCCUAUCAGCUUGUUGGUGAGGUAAUGGCUUACCAAGGCGACGACGGGUAGCCGGCCUGAGAGGGUGACCGGCCACACUGGGACUGAGACACGGCCCAGACUCCUACGGGAGGCAGCAGUGGGGAAUAUUGCACAAUGGGCGCAAGCCUGAUGCAGCGACGCCGCGUGAGGGAUGACGGCCUUUCGGGUUGUAAACCUCUGUUAGCAUCGAAGAAGCGAAAGUGACGGUAGGUGCAGAGAA
This 453-nucleotide ribosomal RNA is filed under the name Rothia dentocariosa. RNAcentral's name for it is "bacterial SSU rRNA". It matches the Rfam family "Bacterial small subunit ribosomal RNA", at positions 28 to 488 of the family's 1533-position model. Lineage: Bacteria; Bacillati; Actinomycetota; Actinomycetes; Micrococcales; Micrococcaceae. The record is from RNAcentral.